AAGACACUAGUAAAACGAACAUUACACUGCCUUGUCAAGGCAGAAUUGCGGGUUGAACCCCCGCGUGUCUUGACCCCCCCCCC
RNAcentral lists this transfer RNA (83 nucleotides) under Hapalogenys analis (broadbanded velvetchin). RNAcentral's name for it is "tRNA-Asp". The stretch from base 1 to 72 matches the Rfam family "tRNA". From Rfam's summary of the family: Transfer RNA (tRNA) molecules are approximately 80 nucleotides in length. Lineage: Eukaryota; Metazoa; Chordata; Actinopteri; Lobotiformes; Hapalogenyidae. The record is from RNAcentral.